GACAGUGGCGGACGGGUGAGUAACGCGUGAGGAACCUGCCUUUCAGAGGGGGACAACAGUUGGAAACGACUGCUAAUACCGCAUAACGCGUAGAGGUCGCAUGGCCUUUACGCCAAAGAUUUAUCGCUGAAAGAUGGCCUCGCGUCUGAUUAGCUAGUUGGUGAGGUAACGGCCCACCAAGGCGACGAUCAGUAGCCGGACUGAGAGGUUGAACGGCCACAUUGGGACUGAGAUACGGCCCAGACUCCUACGGGAGGCAGCAGUGGGGAAUAUUGGGCAAUGGGCGCAAGCCUGACCCAGCAACGCCGCGUGAAGGAAGAAGGCUUUCGGGUUGUAAACUUCUUUUGUCAGGGACGAGCAGAAGACGGUACCUGACGAAUAAGCCACGGCUAACUACGUG
RNAcentral lists this ribosomal RNA (400 nucleotides) under uncultured bacterium. RNAcentral describes it as "bacterial SSU rRNA". It matches the Rfam family "Bacterial small subunit ribosomal RNA", at positions 91 to 507 of the family's 1533-position model. The record is from RNAcentral.